CUCUACGUAUACUGCUGCCACUGCAACCAAUCAUCGGCGAGUUGAAGGUAGUGUCUUCUCUCUCAAUCUCUCUACAUGUAUAUACAUCUAUGUGUAGUAUAGAGUAUAUAUAUGUGAGUAACUGAGCUUGUACUCCAACUGUUUGAUAGAAUGGCCCGCUUAUAAAUUGCUUUAUGAAUUGUGCUGAUACCGUCAAUAAAAGUUCAACAGGUUCUUCAGCCGGUCAUAUAAGUUUUAUUUUCAUAUUUGAUGCAUCUCUUUUAAUAUUGAUCUUAGUUGCUGAUUGAAUAGUUAUGUAGAGAGAUGCCUGCUUAGCGGCAAACAGGGUGCUUCUGCUUGUUGGUGGUUCUUUUCGCCUGAGAAAAGUUUCUGGGUUCUCGUGGGUAGCUCUAGUUCGUAGUAGUGUGAGGUUUUUUGGUCGUUUUAGUAAUGAAAGUGGGCCUUAUCACAACUUGGAUCUUCAGCUAUGGCUUCUCCUCUUUAUACCCAGAUUGAUUUUGAUUCAGCUGGAAAUUCAGUUGACUCUGAAAACCAAAUCAAAGAAAGAAAUGAGGAAGGAUAAAUUACAAAACAAUAAGAAGAGAGGAAGAUGGAAAUUGAAUUGAAAUUCAAUCCACUUAGCAACAAAGAUUCCAGAGAUUAUAGAUUGUAUAAAUAUUUAUAUACACCAACAAUGAGAGUGUUCUCCCAAUUUGCGAAAUAGAAAAAAGCAUAAAAGGCCUAAUUACAAUUAAUAUAAUGCCCAAAACGACGUCACCUCCACUUCAAGUAUCAAUUAAUCCAGUUAGCUUCCUUAUUCUUCCUCAUUGAUCUGGUCUUUUUCGUUCCCCAUUGAUUUCUCUAUUGAUUCUUCUCUUGACAACCCUUUCCCUCACUUUGAUCUUGUCUCCAAGAUCUGUAGAGAGGAAAUUUUUAUUUUAUCCAUUCAGCAUCCUCCCACUUUGAACUGUCUGUGGGUAAAUCUGACCAUUUAAUAAGCCAUUAUUUUGCUGUGUGAUUUCGUUUGGUUACCACUCUGGUUUGUAAUAUGGCUUGAGGAAGUUGUUAUGGUUGGUAUAGGUGAGUUUCAUCUGGUAACUGCAAUACUUUCAUUGCUCUAUCACCCAAUUUUUUCUUCAACAGUGAGACAUGGAAGACCUGGUGGAUUUUGGAAGUGGCUGGGAGAGAUAACUGAUAAGCCACUGUGCAUAUUUCCUUGAUAACCUGGUAGGGACAAAAAUACCUUGUCCUCAAUUUAUAAUUCUACCUGUGCUCCAUGGAUUGUUGCUUGUAGGGGUGGAGUUUGAGGAAGACCUAAUCGUGCGCAUCAAAAGACCUUUCGGACCUAUUCUUAUAUGCAUAGAAUUUCAUUCUGACGCUUGUGAAAGAUUCUCCUUCAACUACUAAUUUAAUUCAUAUCUUUGUUGAAGCCACUCUUCCACAGCUGCAACAUUUGACUGCUGUUAUGAUCCUGAGACUAUUGAGGUAGCUUGGUUCCAUAAAGGGCUUUAAAGAGAGUCAUUCUUAUGGAGGAAUGGUAAGACGUAUUAUACCACCACUAUGCCAAUGAAAACCAUCUUUCCCACUGUUUAGGAUGUUCAUAUGUCAUGGACCUUAAGUACGUCUCUAGUAAUUGAUUGAGUCUUUCAGUUUGUCCAUCUGAUUAAGGGUGAUAAAUAGAGCUUAAGUGGAAUUGUGUACCCAUGAGUUGAAAUAGUUCCUGCCAAAACUUGUGUUGUAGUGAUUAUUAUUCUCGACAUCACGUUCUUUGAAAAUAAACCAUACUUCCAUAGAACCUCUCUUCAAGGGGAAAAUGUAAGUGAAAAUCGAUACCUAAACUUAGAUCUUUUCCCUCUGGAAGUCAACAUACCACCUAGUCCUUCUAUGCAAUUUACAGGAUGAAACUUGAAUUAGGGAUAGAUGCAAAAAAACAAAGUGGCAAGAAAAUACUUGUUUACUCACGAAAACAAAAAACAAGGCAUGAGGAGAACCUUACACCCGAAGCACCAAGAAAGUCAAAAUCAAUGAUAGUUCCAUUGGAACCAAUAAAAGUCUCGAAAUCUCAUGACACCACAAAUAUACUAGAAUCAUCAAACAUUAACCUACCCUUCGCACUCCUAAAAAAAUUCGAUCACGUACUCUCCAUCAUAUCUCAAAAUUCAUGUCGCAUAAUGCUUUACCUACAGGAUUUCGAAGUUUCACCUCCCAUCUUAACAGUACCAAAAUUCCAAGAGAUAUUCAAGAAACUUUGGGAAUUCCAUAAUGGAGAGAAAUGGUGAUGGAGGAAAUGCAAGCGUUGGAAAAAAUGAAACUUGGGAGUGACGGAUUUGCCAAUAGGAAAAAGACCAGUUGGGUAUAAAUGUGUCUUCAACUUAAAAUAUAAAGUAUAUGAACAGUAGAAUGGUAUUAAACUAGGCUAGUUGCAAAAGGAUAUACCCAUACCUAUGUCAUUGACUAUACAGAAAAAUUUGCACCUGUGGCUAAAUUAAAUACAGUUCGAAUAUUCUUGUCGUUAGCAACAAACUUGGAUUGGCCUAUCCAACAACUGAACAUUAAGAAUGAAAUUUUAAAUGGAGAACAGGAAGAAGAAGAAGUUUACAUGACUAUAUUACCAAGUUUUUGCAAGGUAAACGAAAAGAAUAGGGUAUGCAAACUCAAGACGUCCUUGUAUAUACUAAAGCAAUCACUUAAAGCAUGGUUUGACAUAUUUGCAAAAGUACUGAAGAGACUAGGAUACCAAUAAGUGCAGUCAAAUCACACUGUGUUCCUCCAACAGUUUGAUGAUGGGACUAAGACAAUCUUAAUUGUAUAUGCUGAUGACAUAAUCCUGAUAGGAGAUAACACAGUGGAGUGGAAAUGGAGAAACUUAAGGAGAAUCUAGCCACUGAAUUUGAAGUAAAAGAUCUGGAACAAAUGCAAUACUUCUUAGGAACGGAAGUAGCCAGGUCAAAAAGGGGCAUUAGCGAUUCAUAGAGAAAGUACGUUUUUGACCUUCUCACUGAAAUAGGAAUGCUUAGAUGUAAACCAGGUAAUAUACCAACUGAUACGAGUAAUAAAAUCGAGAUACCUACAGUGCAGCAGACACAGAUAGAUAUCAAUGACUAGUAGGUAAGCUAAUCUACUUGUCACACACUAAACUUGACAUUGCAUUUGCAGUUAGCAUGAUAAGUCAACAUAUGCACUCUCUGAAGGAAGUUCAUCUCGAAGCUGUCUGUAAAAUACUCAGAUAUCUCAAGGGUUCAUCAGAGAAGGGACUAUUCUUCAAAAAGCAUAAAAUGAAAGACGAAGUCUUCAUGGAUGCCGACUGGAUGGGUUCUAUGAAAGAUAGAAGAUCAACUACCAAAUCUGCACUUUUGUAUGGGGAAAUCUAGAAACAUGAAGAAGCAAGAAAGGAGAAGCAAGAAACAAAUUGUAGUUGCCAGAUGCAGUACUAAAGCAGAGUUUAGAGCAAUAGCACAAAGAAUAUGUGAAGGAUUAUGGUUGAAGAAACUCCUAAAUGAGCUACGUAUUACUAUAAAAUUACCUGGUAAAUUAUAUUGUGACAAUAAAGCUGCUAUCAUCAUCUUUCUCAACCUAGUCCAACAUGAUCGGACAAAACAUAUUGAGGUUUAUCAAAGAAAAGGUAGAAGAAGAGACUAUUUGCAUGACAUAUGUUCCCACACAGGAGCAAGCUGCAAACAUUUUUAGUAAAGGGCUACCUUGAUCAAAAUUCGAUGAUCUUUCUCACAAGUUGGAUAUUAUUAAUAUUUGCAAUCCAACUUGAGGGGGAUUGUUGUAAUCCCGGAUAUGUGGAAAUAUUCCACCGUCCCUAAUUAGCAUUAUCUAUUUAGGAAAAUUAUAAUUCUUGCAAUUAGGGAAGAUUGCAGAAGAUUUUUGCAUUGAUUUAGGAAUAUUGUUUUUCCUUAUUAAACUAUUUUGUAUACUAUAUAAGGCUGUAAUUAGGGUGUAAUUAUUCGUUGAGAAAUAAAGAGGAAUUCUCUACAAUUCACAAAUACUCUACAAUUAACUACUUGCUUGUAAAGAUUUUAUCCUUGUCGGAUAUAAUGCUUUGUAGUAAUCCAUGAAGUUUAAACACAACAUCAAAGAAGCUUCUUGCAACUAUAACGGCUAGGAGAUAAUAAUGAAGUGCCCAUAUUUUGUAAAUCUAUCUAUUGCCACCAUAAUAAUAUCUUUACCCCUUGAAUUUGGCAAUCUUUCUAUGAAGUCCAUGCUGAUGUGACUCCAAGCAUGUAGCGACACUAGUAAGGGCCGAAGUAAUUCAGGGAACGGCACGUGCUCUCUUUUACAUUUCUGACAUAUUCACACUACAUCAUCUCCAUCUUUAUACCUUGAUUCAUCCCUAGCCAGUAGAAGUGUUGCUUGGCCCUAUAAAUGCUAUUGUGAAUUCUUGAAUGGCCUCCUUUUUUAGAUCCAUGAACAUUUUGGAUCAAAUUUGAUCUAAUUUUCCCUUUUGUUCCAAUAUAUAAUCUGCCG
RNAcentral lists this long non-coding RNA (4452 nucleotides) under Olea europaea subsp. europaea. Lineage: Eukaryota; Viridiplantae; Streptophyta; Magnoliopsida; Lamiales; Oleaceae. The record is from RNAcentral.